RNAcentral lists this ribosomal RNA (2599 nucleotides) under Clostridium beijerinckii. RNAcentral describes it as "partial 23S ribosomal RNA". It matches the Rfam family "Bacterial large subunit ribosomal RNA", at positions 328 to 2925 of the family's 2925-position model. Lineage: Bacteria; Bacillati; Bacillota; Clostridia; Eubacteriales; Clostridiaceae. The record is from RNAcentral.
GUUAAUUGAACACAACUGGAAAGUUGGACCACAGUGGGUAAUAGUCCCGUAAGUGAAAACUAUGAUAAUCAGUUCUGCACCAGAGUACCACGAGACACGUGAAACCUUGUGGGAAGCAGGAGGACCACCUCCCAAGGCUAAAUACUACCUGAUGACCGAUAGUGAAGCAGUACCGUGAGGGAAAGGUGAAAAGAACCCCGGGAGGGGAGUGAAAUAGAACCUGAAACCAUGUGCCUACAACCGAUCAGAGCACCUUAUGUGUGUGAUGAUGUGCUUUUUGUAGAACGAGCCAACGAGUUACGGUAUGUAGCGAGGUUAAGUACUUAAGGUACGGAGCCGAAGGGAAACCGAGUCUUAAUAGGGCGACUAGUUGCAUCUGUAGACCCGAAACCGGGUGACCUAUCCAUGGCCAGGUUGAAGCGAGGGUAAAACCUCGUGGAGGACCGAACCACGUUGCUGUUGAAAAAGCAUGGGAUGAGCUGUGGAUAGCGGAGAAAUUCCAAUCGAACUCGGAUAUAGCUGGUUCUCCUCGAAAUAGCUUUAGGGCUAGCGUCGGAAAAAUGUGAGUAGUGGAGGUAGAGCACUGAAUAGGCUAGGGGGCAUAGCGCUUUACCGAACCUUAUCAAACUCCGAAUGCCACAUACUAUCAGUCCGGCAGUCAGACUAAUGAAAGAUAAGUUCCAUGGUCAAAAGGGAAAACAGCCCAGAUCGUCAGCUAAGGUCCCAAAGUGUAAGUUAAGUGGAAAAGGAUGUGGGAUUUUCUAAAGACAACUAGGAUGUUGGCUUAGAAAGCAGCCACUCAAUUAAAAAGAGUGCGUAAUAGCUCAACUAGUCAAGAGAUCCUGCGCCGAAAAUGUCCGGGGCUCAAACUUACCACCGAAGCUACGGGUUCACGCUUAUGCGUGAGCGGUAGAGGGAGCGUCGUAAUCGGGCUGAAGUCGUACCGUAAGGAGCGGUGGACUGAUUACGAGUGAGAAUGUUGGCAUUAGUAGCGAGAUGUAGGCGAGAAUCCUACAGGCCGAAUAUCUAAGGUUUCCUGAGUAAAGUUUGUCUUCUCAGGGUUAGUCGGGACCUAAGGCGAGGCCGAAAGGCGUAGUCGAUGGACAAUUGGUUGAUAUUCCAAUACCACUAUAAUCGUUAUUAUCGAUGGUGUGACGGAGAAGGAUAGGAUGUGCUAGCUAUUGGAUGCUAGUCUAAGCGUUUAGGGAGUUGGGAUUGGCAAAUCCGUUCCAACAAUUCUGAGGCGUGAUGGGGAAGGUUCUACGGAACCGAAGUAUCUGAUUCCAUGCUUCCAAGAAAAGCAUCUAGAGAGAGAAGUAGUGCCCGUACCGCAAACCGACACAGGUAGAUGAGGAGAGAAUCCUAAGGCCGACGGAAGAAUUGCAGUUAAGGAACUAGGCAAAUUGACCCCGUAACUUCGGGAGAAGGGGUGCCUGAGAAAUCAGGCCGCAGAGAAUAGGCACAAGCAACUGUUUAACAAAAACACAGGUCUCUGCUAAAGCGAAAGCUGAUGUAUAGGGGCUGACGCCUGCCCGGUGCUGGAAGGUUAAGGGGAACACUUAGUGGUAACGCGAAGGUGUGAACUUAAGCCCCAGUAAACGGCGGCCGUAACUAUAACGGUCCUAAGGUAGCGAAAUUCCUUGUCAGGUAAGUUCUGACCCGCACGAAUGGCGUAAUGACUUGUGCACUGUCUCAACUGCAAAUCCGGCGAAGUUGUAGUGCGAGUGAAGAUGCUCGCUACCCGCGAUUGGACGGAAAAGACCCCGUAGAGCUUUACUGUAGCUUAGCAUUGAAUUUCGGUAUUGUCUGUACAGGAUAGGUGGGAGACUGGGAAACUAGGGCGUCAGCCUUGGUGGAGUCGUUGUUGGGAUACCACCCUGAUAGUAUUGAAGUUCUAACUGGAUGCCAUGAAACUGGUGACAGGACAUUGUUAGGUGGGCAGUUUGACUGGGGCGGUCGCCUCCUAAAAUGUAACGGAGGCGCCCAAAGGUUCCCUCAGAACGGUCGGAAAUCGUUCGAAGAGUGUAAAGGCAGAAGGGAGCCUGACUGCGACACCUACAAGUGGAGCAGGGACGAAAGUCGGGCUUAGUGAUCCGGUGGUACCUCGUGGGAGGGCCAUCGCUCAACGGAUAAAAGCUACCUCGGGGAUAACAGGCUGAUCUCCCCCAAGAGUUCACAUCGACGGGGAGGUUUGGCACCUCGAUGUCGGCUCGUCGCAUCCUGGGGCUGAAGUAGGUCCCAAGGGUUGGGCUGUUCGCCCAUUAAAGCGGCACGCGAGCUGGGUUCAGAACGUCGUGAGACAGUUCGGUCCCUAUCCGUCGCGGGCGUAGGAAAUUUGAGAGGAGCUGUCCUUAGUACGAGAGGACCGGGAUGGACUGACCUAUGGUGUACCAGUUGUUUCGCCAGAAGCAUAGCUGGGUAGCUAAGUCGGGAAGGGAUAAACGCUGAAAGCAUCUAAGUGUGAAGCCCACCUCAAGAUGAGAUUUCCCAUAGCAUAAGCUAGUAAGACCCCUUGAAGACUACAAGGUUGAUAGGUCAGAGGUGUAAGUGCGGCAACGUAUUUAGCUGACUGAUACUAAUAGGUCGAGGGCUUGACCAA